RNAcentral lists this unclassified non-coding RNA (1733 nucleotides) under Hevea brasiliensis (rubber tree). The record is from RNAcentral. Lineage: Eukaryota; Viridiplantae; Streptophyta; Magnoliopsida; Malpighiales; Euphorbiaceae.
UCUCUCUCUCUCUCUCUCUAACAUGCAUCAGAAAGUGGUGCAUAGACAUAUAUAUUAAUCAGAAAGUGUGUAUAAAUUCUUGGUGCCCAUCAUCGUCAUCAUCAGGAAAGAUGGCUAUAGGGUUUUGAAGAUGAAGCCACUGAUUUCCAUCUAUGUAUGAAAUGUUCAUGUAAGGAGAUGCUUCAUAUUCAGAUAGUUGCUUCCCAUAGGCUACUCUAAAUGCGUAGUUUGCUCCAGGUCCAUAGCACUCGUACUCUCCAAAGAACACUGUCCUGCAAUUCAAAACAACCAUUUAUAUAAAUACAAACAGCAAUAUAUAGAGAGAACUACACACAGAAUGAGAGAGAAAUUAGGAAAUGGGUAUAUAUAGAAAGGGGCAUUAAUGAGUAGGAUCGACCACAGACUGGUCUCUAGAGGGGUCUCUCCAAUCGUUCCAACCAUCUGGGGAUACAACAUUGGACAUGUAAGUUUUAGAAAAUACUACAGUGGCAUAUGCACCCCAAGCUCUACCAAGCCAUACUUUCCCACUUCCAUUAAUGCUACAACUCACAAAGGAAAACCCUGUUUGCUCGCUCAUGGAUUGCCUUGCUUGUGCUGUAAUUGAUCCACUAACUCCUGCUGUUGGAGGUUUUGCUAUGGAAUUGAUGAUGCAGCCCUCAAAAAGUGAUUUAGCAUUUCCAAAAAUGAAAUCAAUAGAUCCUUGGAUGAAGCAUUCUCUAAAAUAAUGCCUCCCACGAUCAUCAUGAAGUGUGUCUUGAGCUCCAUAAAAUCCACACCCAUAAAAAGCAGCUUGAUCACCUGCUAUUCUAAGUGCUACUGCCUGCCCUCCCACUUCCCCUGGAGAUGGCGAAGGAGAUGCAUUCUUAAAGCUAAUAUUGUAAGCAGUGAAGUUAAGUGCAAAGAUGGCAACUGAAGCACUGUAGACAGUUCCUCCGGUAGAAUUUGCAGUGUCAUUCCAUUCUAUGGCAGUGCUGAGAUAACUCUGACCUUGAAAUAUUAUGUUUGUUUUGUUAGUAUGCACUGUCACCUUCUCCCUGUAGGUACCAGAAUCGAUUAUGAUGAGGGUUGGGGAGGGGCUAAAAUCUGGGGCAACAUCAACUGCCUUCUGAACACUGCUAAAAUUUCCACAACCUUUCAUGUCUACUGUCAGAACACAAAACACUUUAUAAUGGUAUAUUAACCUUCUAUAACGGUAUAUAAUCCUAGACUUCCAUGAAUUCCUGUCACAUUUGUGCUUCUUCCGGUGGUGGCGGUGAUGUCUAGACAAGAUCCUUGAUAGGUCGUCCUCUAAACCAGUUUGCUUGAAAACCCUUCUGAGAAUGAAGAGCUGAAAAUUAUCGGGAACACCUAUGGGAGUGGUUGUCAAAGAGGAAGGAAGGAUUGCAUAGAGCGAAAUUAUAAUGGAAAUUAGAGCAAUGGCAGAGGCAAAGAGCCAAAAGGAGAAAGUUCUGAUACUCAUACUUAAAAGGCUUAGGUGUUUGUUGAAGAUUGUAUGUUACUUUGUAGCAAAGUACAGAAGGAGUGAUGUGGGUGUUUCAUUUAAUGUGAAGAAGAGAUUGAUGAUUGACGUGGGAGGUAAGGAAUGUAAGGUUUCUUUAAGUGAUAUUUCUGAGUGUGAUGAUGAUUACACCGUCCUGCUUUAGAGAAGUAAUGGUGCAGAAAAGAAAGGGUGAGGAGAAAUCACGAGAAUGGAAGUUUGGAAGAUGCAUACCCUAAGACAUGAUAAAACAGAA